Molecule: ribosomal RNA, 254 nt
Filed under: uncultured bacterium
Lineage: Bacteria
Description: partial 16S ribosomal RNA
Rfam family: Bacterial small subunit ribosomal RNA
Source: RNAcentral
UACGUAGGGUCCAAGCGUUAUCCGGAAUCACUGGGCGUAAAGCGUGCGUAGGUGGGUAAUUAAGUGCGAUGCGAAAUCCUGUGGCUCAACCAUACGGACUGUACCGCAUACUGGUUAUCUAGAGGAUAUGAGAGGCAAGUGGAAUUACCGGUGUAGCAGUGAAAUGCGUAGAUAUCGGUAGGAACACCAAUGGCGAAGGCAGCUUGCUGGCAUAUUUCUGACGCUAAGGCACGAAAGCGUGGGGAGCGAACAGG